RNAcentral lists this ribosomal RNA (440 nucleotides) under uncultured bacterium. RNAcentral describes it as "partial 16S ribosomal RNA". It matches the Rfam family "Bacterial small subunit ribosomal RNA", at positions 339 to 795 of the family's 1533-position model. The record is from RNAcentral.
CUACGGGGUGCACCAGUGGGGAAUAUUGCACAAUGGGCGAAAGCCUGAUGCAGCAACGCCGCGUGAGCGAUGAAGGCCUUCGGGUCGUAAAGCUCUGUCCUAAAGGAAGAAUUUUUGACGGUACUUUAGGAGGAAGCCCCGGCUAAUUACGUGCCAGCAGCCGCGGUAAUACGUAAGGGGCUAGCGUUAUCCGGAAUUACUGGGCGUAAAGGGUACGUAGGCGGUUUAUUAAGUCAGGGGUGAAAGGCUACGGCUCAACCGUAGUAAGCCUUUGAAACUGAUAAACUUGAGUAUGGUAGAGGAAAGUGGAAUUCCUGGUGUAGCGGUGAAAUGCGUAGAUAUCAGGAGGAACAUCGAUGGCGAAGGCAGCUUUCUGGGCCAUUACUGACGCUGAGGUACGAAAGCGUGGGGAGCGAACAGGAUUAGAUACCCUAGUAGUC